RNAcentral lists this ribosomal RNA (490 nucleotides) under uncultured bacterium. Its description in RNAcentral is "partial 16S ribosomal RNA". It matches the Rfam family "Bacterial small subunit ribosomal RNA", at positions 30 to 507 of the family's 1533-position model. The record is from RNAcentral.
AUUGAACGCUGGCGGCAGGCCUAACACAUGCAAGUCGAACGGUAACAGGAAGCAGCUUGCUGCUUUGCUGACGAGUGGCGGACGGGUGAGUAAUGUCUGGGAAACUGCCUGAUGGAGGGGGAUAACUACUGGAAACGGUAGCUAAUACCGCAUAACGUCGCAAGACCAAAGAGGGGGACCUUAGGGCCUCUUGCCAUCGGAUGUGCCCAGAUGGGAUUAGCUAGUAGGUGGGGUAACGGCUCACCUAGGCGACGAUCCCUAGCUGGUCUGAGAGGAUGACCAGCCACACUGGAACUGAGACACGGUCCAGACUCCUACGGGAGGCAGCAGUGGGGAAUCUUGCACAAUGGGCGCAAGCCUGAUGCAGCCAUGCCGCGUGUAUGAAGAAGGCCUUCGGGUUGUAAAGUACUUUCAGCGGGGAGGAAGGGAGUAAAGUUAAUACCUUUGCUCAUUGACGUUACCCGCAGAAGAAGCACCGGCUAACUCCGUG